AUUGAACGCUGGCGGCAGGCCUAACACAUGCAAGUCGAACGAGUGGCGGACGGGUGAGUAAUGUCUGGGAAACUGCCUGAUGGAGGGGGAUAACUACUGGAAACGGUAGCUAAUACCGCAUACCUUCGGUUCUGCCCAGAUGGGCUUAGCUAGUGGGUGGGGUAACGGCUCACCUAGGCGACGAACCCUAGCAUGUCUGAGUGGAGGACCAGCCAGACUGGAACUGAGACACGGUCCAGACUCCUACGGGAGGCAGCAGUGGGGAAUAUUGCACAAUGGGCGCAAGCCUGAUGCAGCCAUGCCGCGUGUAUGAAGAAGGCCUUCGGGUUUUAAAGUACUUUCAGCGGGGAGGCGUUACCCGCAGAAGAAGCACCGGCUAACUCCGUGCCAGCAGCCGCGGUAAUAC
Molecule: ribosomal RNA, 406 nt
Filed under: uncultured bacterium
Lineage: Bacteria
Description: partial 16S ribosomal RNA
Rfam family: Bacterial small subunit ribosomal RNA
Source: RNAcentral